Long non-coding RNA from Malania oleifera, 1612 nucleotides. RefSeq lists it as uncharacterized. The transcript has 5 exons. NCBI's taxonomy places the organism in Eukaryota, Viridiplantae, Streptophyta, Magnoliopsida, Santalales, Ximeniaceae. The record is from RefSeq and is a predicted model, not a curated record.
UUUUCCUACCCCUAGACUAGUCCUUAUAUAUAAGGCAUAGAGGUUCCUCUCCUUCUUCCUCUCCCUCCGUGAGUAUUUUAACUAAUGAAAUAAGAUUUGUUAUUAUGCCAAACUUGCCAAUAAUUUGUUUGUUCAAAAAUCAUAUCCCACGCCUAGAAUUCAAGGAAGGUGACAGCUUCCGCCGGCGAGGCGGCGAAGGUGAGAUUCUUCUCCACACCCUCCUCCAUUUCUUUCUCCCCUCGAAAAACCAAUGCGAAGUACCAGAACGACAGUGCAUUACCUCUGAGAAGCUCUUCGCAGUCGGAAGAUUUGCUUGAAAAAGCUGGGGGAUUUUAUGUCAUAUUAAGGGUGUUUACUCUUGCAUACAGUAUGGUUGUUUGAGCAUGCGUGUAGCACCCAUCUUGAUGCAGGUUUGCUACGCUAUUUGGGUUUUGGCAUGAUUUUGAAUAUGCUCACCGUGCUUAGGUUCUGUUUCUUGGAUUGCCGCAAGAGCCAGCCAUCAAUGGGUGUUGUUCCUAUGAUGUUUAUGGAUGGUAAUAAAGGUACUAAAGACGAUUGAGGCACAUUGUGGAUGCCAUUUGCGAUCUAGCCUUUAAAAAUUAUCCCCAUGCAUGGAGGGAUAUUCUCAAGGACAUGGCUUACAGAAAUUGAAAGCACUGGAAACGAAGGCUAUAGACAAUAUAAGAAAGUAAGAUUUAUGAUGGUUAUUUAUUAUUUUAUUUUAUUCUCUCAUCACACCAUAAAAGAAAAGCUCUCUUUCCCUUUUCCCCCAUUGUUGUGCCCUAUUUUAUUUUAGUCAGAUAAUUGGCAGGCACUAGAUUCAGAAGCUGCAAAAUGCAAAAAAUUCAUAGGCAUUUUAUUAUUUAAAGAGCAGAAAAUGGUAAAACCUAGAGUUAUAGCUCAGUGGUUUCUGCAUCUCGUAGGGGAGAAUUGAGUUUGUGGUUUUCAUAUUCAAGGUUUUGGGUUUGAACUUGGGAGGGAGUGGGAAGGGGUAUGGGAUGGGAGAUGUCGGCCUACCUCUGGUGGCUAUUCACGCAGCCAAGGCCCUGGGCCUCAAAUGAACCAAAAGAGAAGCUUAAGAGGUUUUUGUUGGUUUAGUGCUUUCUGUCCACCAAACUGUAGGUUAUACAUGCUUGUUCUCUCUUUAUGCACUCCUGUUUUGGUCCUGCGGAGCUAAUAGCAUUAGGCCUCACUUGCACAAUGUGCUGUGCCCACAAACAAAUGCUGGAAAGGUUUAAAGUGCUUUUUAAUGCCAACAAAUGAAGUGGAAGUCACUGUGAUUUGAUAGUGAAUUCUUGUAUUGGCUCUGCUUGAGUUUGACUACAACAUCUUCUUGUGUUGGUUUGAGGGUGGAAUUCCAAGUUUUGCUCUCCAUAAGAAUCAGAUGAAGUGGGAGUCAACAAUGGAAUCCGCACUCACCAAUGUAAUGGUUUUGGGCUGGGGUAAACCCGACUGCACUAUUUUAAGGAUUGGACGGCACCUACUGUCAAAGAUUGGAAAUGGAACAUCUCAUUAUUAUUAUUGUAGUCAUCUUGAGAGAAACUAUGCUUCUCAAAAUCAAUUGUAUGGAUUAGUCAGAGUAUUCUAAUUUUUAUCUUUUUUGACUUGUUGA